Molecule: RNase P RNA, 363 nt
Filed under: Woeseia sp.
Lineage: Bacteria; Pseudomonadati; Pseudomonadota; Gammaproteobacteria; Woeseiales; Woeseiaceae
Description: RNase P RNA component class A
Rfam family: Bacterial RNase P class A
About the family: Ribonuclease P (RNase P) is a ubiquitous endoribonuclease, found in archaea, bacteria and eukarya as well as chloroplasts and mitochondria. Its best characterised activity is the generation of mature 5'-ends of tRNAs by cleaving the 5'-leader elements of precursor-tRNAs.
Source: RNAcentral
GGAGCAGGCCAGGCAAUCGCGGCAUUUUGGUGCCGAGGAAAGUCCGGGCUCCUUCGGACACGGCGCCAGGUAACGCCUGGAGGGCGCGAGCCCAUGGCAAGUGCCACAGAAAACACACCGCCUAAGCGCGCAAGCGCCGGUAAGGUUGAAAAGGUGCGGUAAGAGCGCACCGCGCGGCUGGCAACAGUCCGCGGCAGGGUAAACCCCGCCGGGAGCAAGACCAAAUAGGGGAGUGCACGGGCGAAAGUCCGUAACCGCCGGUUCCGAGCGGGCUCCCGGGUAGGUUGCUUGAGGCAGUCGGUGACGGCUGUCCCAGAUGAAUGGUUGUCCUCGACAGAACCCGGCUUACGGUCGGCUCCGGCC